Molecule: non-coding RNA, 46 nt
Filed under: Trichobilharzia regenti
Lineage: Eukaryota; Metazoa; Platyhelminthes; Trematoda; Strigeidida; Schistosomatidae
Source: RNAcentral
GUACUCCUGAAGAGUCCCAAACUAGGACGAAAGGACUGUCAAGUAC